GAGAAGAAAGGAAAUACCUUGUCUCGGGAC
This 30-nucleotide non-coding RNA is filed under the name Mus musculus (house mouse). RNAcentral also lists the same sequence under 1 other name. The record is from RNAcentral. Lineage: Eukaryota; Metazoa; Chordata; Mammalia; Rodentia; Muridae.